Molecule: ribosomal RNA, 244 nt
Filed under: uncultured bacterium
Lineage: Bacteria
Description: partial 16S ribosomal RNA
Rfam family: Bacterial small subunit ribosomal RNA
Source: RNAcentral
GAUCCUGGCUCAGGAUGAACGCCGGCGGCGUGCUUAACACAUGCAAGUCGAACGGGGAUUAUUUUGACAGAGACUUCGGUUGAAGUCGUUAUAAUCCUAGUGGCGGACGGGUGAGUAACGCGUGGGUAACCUGCCUCACACUGGGGGAUAACAGUCAGAAAUGACUGCUAAUACCGCAUAAGCGCACGGGAUUGCAUGAUCCAGUGUGAAAAACUCCGGUGGUGUGAGAUGGACCCGCGUUGGA